AUUGCCUUAUUAUACCCUGCAGGCAGUAUACCAUUGGGAAUCAAAGAGUCUGUGGCUGGGUUGGUGUCACGUUUCUCUUUGGAUAGCAUGCAGUGUACCUUCCUGUUCCAAAGACACUGAAAAGAGAGUUCGAAGGCUCUUCAUAGGCACCAGCCCCACCUCCCCACGUCCAGUGAGUUUGAGGGUGUUGUUUUCAGUUGCAGCACCUUUCCCUCUCUUGGCAUCAGGUAGAGAGAAAACUAUAGUUUUCUUGGCAACAACCUGGAUGGUUUGGAAUUCCCUUUUGGAGAGAGGUCUUGCAUAAGCUAUAUCUUAUUAUCUAAUACCAAACAAGUUUAUAAAGAAUCACAGCAUCAACUGGGCAGUGGUGGCUCACGCCUUUAAUCCCAGCACUUGGGAAGUAGAGACAGGCAGAUUUCUGAGUUUGAGGCCAGGCUGGUCUACAGAGUGAGUUCCAGGACAGCCAGGGCUACACAGAGAAACCCUGUCUUGAAAAAACAAAAACAAAACCAAAACAACAACAACAAAAAAAGAAUCAUAACAUCUUACUAUACAGUUUUAAAGGGGAAAAUAUGGGACAGAGUGAACAGAAAUCCAUCAUACAAUUGAAUCUAAUCAAGCCAUGUUGCACAAAAGAAGCACAGGAUAUCCCAAAUGUGCCGCAGAUAGCACAGAGAACUUCAAAACUGACCACUAUGGUUUCUUCAGGUGGAAAAGCCAAGUUCCCAGAAACCAUAUUCCUUCAGGGCCCUGACCCUAGCCCCACACCAGACCUUCCCAGAUCUGCUUCUGGUCAGAGUACAGAACUAGGUUCCCUUUGGCUUUGGAGAUAAAGAAAUGGGCUUAAAAUACAAAGGCGCCCACCAGCACUGAGAAGACAGUCUGAGACGCCAUAUUUAGUGGUACCUUCUGGAACUCCAGAGGGAUCCUGAGAUGGUCUGUGCUCCCUUCCUCCUACUAAAGAUGGACAAAAAGACACCAAAGGUGAACACAGCUUCCACGCCAGGCUCAGUAGCACAAGGCCUGGGAUUGUUCCCAGAAGAGCUCCUCCCCUCACAUCAUGAUCCAUGAUGGCUCACGGGAAGAUGACUGCUCACCUCAGCAUGAGUGAGCCCAGGCUGUGAAGUAAGAAGAUAGGCAUGGGUGGAGUCUGCUAGGUGGGAGGAGAUGAGGCUUGGAGGGGGUAGCCUGAAGGAGAGUAACUCAUUUCUUCUACUCCCCUUAAUAGUGAACAAAAAUUGGCCUGUCUCUGUGAAAUACUGUACUUGCUGAUAAUAUUGGGUACUGUGGUGGUUUAAAUGUGUUUGGCCCAUGGGAAGUAGCACUAUCAGGACGUGUGGCCUUAUUUGAGGAGGUGUGGCCUUGAUAGAGGAAGCGCAUCACUGUGGAGGCGGGGCUUUGAGGUCUCCUGUAUGCUCAAAUCUGGCCAGUGUGAAAAAGUCUGUCCUGUCAACCUUUGGAUCAAGAGGUAGAACUCUCAGCUCCUUCUCCAGCACCAUGUCUGCCUGAGUGCUGCCAUGUUCCCAACUGGAUACCGCCAUGCCUUCCACCAUGAUGAUAAUGGACUGAACCUCUGAACCUGUAAACCAGUCCCAAUUAAACGUUUUCCUUGUAAGAGUUGCCUUGGUCAUGGUGUCUCUUCACAACAAUAAAACUCCAACUAAGACAGCUACAAACAAAUAGCAUGUGUUCAUGGGGAAAUAUAUUCAUAUGUACAUGUCUGGAGACAACUGUGAAGGGUGAUACCGCAUUUAUGGUCAAGAUUGUUUCCACUGUAAAAACUGUUUCAAAGCAUGCAUGUUGAGGCAGGCUGGCAGUUGAGGGGAGCUCUUUCUGGCAGGCCUGGCUGCAGUAAGUGCUGGAACCUCUCACAUCCAGAGCCCCUCUGCCUCCUUGAACUUAUAGCUCACUUCAGACACUGCAGCCUCUCCUCAGCUUGGACUCUGCUCUGCCUGUGUUUGAGUCUGCAUGUAGAUGCUCUUUCAAAAUGCUAUUUUCUUUCAAUCUUGCUCAUCAGAACCCGUUAAUCCCAAGCAAUUUAAUUCACUGCUGGAGAUGUGCUAACUAGCAUGAUUAAUAAUUACCCUGCUUAGGAAUUUAGAUGAGGGUUUUCCAGUCACUCGUGACUUGGCGUAUGAUCAGUGCUUCAAUUGAAGCUGGAGUCUCUGCUGGGAGAAGAGUGUGGGCAUCAGCCUGGGCCAAGGCCAGAACCAGCAGGAUCUCAGCCUCUACCCCUUACCUGCUGCUUCUUACCUGACACAGAAAACCACGGGCAGGGCUAGGGUGGUGACCUGUGGCACACCUGCACAGAGCCAAGUGCACAUUCUCCUGGCUGGUAACUUAUUUCACACUUAAGAUCUAGCAGGGAAAAAAAAAACACCAAACAUUUUUGUUU
Molecule: long non-coding RNA, 2395 nt
Filed under: Mus musculus (house mouse)
Lineage: Eukaryota; Metazoa; Chordata; Mammalia; Rodentia; Muridae
Description: long non-coding RNA chr8:10409550-10411945
Source: RNAcentral